This 447-nucleotide ribosomal RNA is filed under the name Geobacillus sp. F02C013Y. RNAcentral describes it as "bacterial SSU rRNA". It matches the Rfam family "Bacterial small subunit ribosomal RNA", at positions 95 to 526 of the family's 1533-position model. Lineage: Bacteria; Bacillati; Bacillota; Bacilli; Caryophanales; Anoxybacillaceae. The record is from RNAcentral.
GCGGCGGACGGGUGAGUAACACGUGGGCAACCUGCCCGCAAGACCGGGAUAACUCCGGGAAACCGGAGCUAAUACCGGAUAACACCGAAGACCGCAUGGUCUUCGGUUGAAAGGCGGCCUUUGGGCUGUCACUUGCGGAUGGGCCCGCGGCGCAUUAGCUAGUUGGUGAGGUAACGGCUCACCAAGGCGACGAUGCGUAGCCGGCCUGAGAGGGUGACCGGCCACACUGGGACUGAGACACGGCCCAGACUCCUACGGGAGGCAGCAGUAGGGAAUCUUCCGCAAUGGGCGAAAGCCUGACGGAGCGACGCCGCGUGAGCGAAGAAGGCCUUCGGGUCGUAAAGCUCUGUUGUGAGGGACGAAGGAGCGCCGUUGAAGAAGGCGGCGCGGUGACGGUACCUCACGAGAAAGCCCCGGCUAACUACGUGCCAGCAGCCGCGGUAAUAC